GCCUGCAUGAGGUUUUGCCCAAUCUGCCCCCCGCAUUCUGCAGCCAAUCCAUCCUCGCCUCGUCCCACUCCCGCACCGGCCACCACCCAAACCCUAGACCCAUUUCCCCUCGAUCCCCACAGCCUCUCCCGCCUACUCCAUCCCUCCUCCGUGCCUCGCCACGGCCUCCGCCCCAGAGCCUCGCCGCCACCUGCUAUUCCUCAUCGCCCAUGCGAGCUCGGUGGCGGGAUGAAUGGACAGGGGAGGUGGGCGACGAGGGCUACUCCACCCACCAGAUUCGCGCCGCCCCUGCCCAAAUCCUCUCCGCGUGCGUUGCACCCAAUCCCGUCCUCGCUCGUAUCGUCCGACGGACAGGUCCCCAUCCUCCUGCGGUUCCCCUCCCUUUCCUCCUUCUCCCUCACGACAUGUCGCCUGUCUCCAUCCCGCAUCUUGCUGCCGCAACAGCCUCUCCAGGAGGCUCGCCCUCCGUGCUGCAAAGUAGCAGGCCCGGACCUGGAGGAGGAAGAGGAGAUCAGGGGGCCCAGGCGGUGGCUCGGUACAGUUCCUUUUCGAUAUGCUCUUCAUGGCGCCGAUGGCUUCCACGGAGCAGAGGAAAGUAUGCGUGCCUUCUGCUGGAAAGGGCUCGGUGGUUGGGAGAGUAGCGCCAUGAAUGAUGAAUGUUGGCGAUCUUUUUAUUGUGACACAACGCUUUCGAGUUUCAUGAGACAUGGCCAUUCUCAAAAGGUUUAAACUCCACAUGGUCAGUAGAAUGGGUAUCUAAAAGGACCAAGAUCUAACUGAGUUAAAAGAAGUACGUUGCCACUGCCUCGGUGUUUAUAACUGUGGUGGUUGUUCUGAAUUGAAAUGGUCUGUGGAUGGUGAAGGAUGGGCGGACAAUGAGGAGAUGGAAAAUGAAGCAAUGUUAUGGGAGAAAAUUGAGGGAGAACAGUUGGCCGCCAUCCAUGAAUGGGAAGAUAGCAGACCUGCGGUGUUUGCAGAAUCAACAGGAAAAAUGACCCUCCAAGCUCCAAGAUGGACUAAAAGGACAAGGUACACGCAAGCUGAACAAAGGGAGGAGUGGGGCAGUGUGGUGUUUGAGGUUAAGGUAACUGAUAGUGGCACUGAAUUUUAGUGUGUGUGGACCUUUUGCCAUGUUGGUAUGCUCUGUCAUAUAAUGAAGGUAUAAAAUUUGCUAGCAUGCUAUGACAGUUUCACAUUGAUGAUGGUUAGGCUAGCCUGCUCCAUGUGGAUUUUACAGUGAAAAAUUGAAGGAAUAUGGUAAACCAUUUUAUUUAUUUUUCUAGAAGUGCAAGAUCCUAGGUUUUCAUUCGAUGUUACUGAUAAUUGUCAAUAAAUAAUUAUAUGCAAGAUUGUUUGUUGAUGACCAGUAAAUUUGUCAAAGUGGGAUUUUAGAAUCUAAAAAUACUUUUACUAUUGAUUUUGUUUAAUAUCUAAAAAUGCAGACCAGUUCUUUAGUGAAUUUUAAAAUUUCCCUUCUUUAUAGACAAGGUUUAGUUUUGUUUGGUUGUUAAUCUGGUGUAUACAGAGAUUUGUUACCAGCCUAUGGGAAAAAACAUCACUAUCUAUUUAUUCUCUCAUGUGAGCACAAAUGAAUGAGCUUCAAUGUCUCCAGGAAAUUUUAUGUAGACAUUAAUCCAUCGUUUUCAUGUCAUGUUAUACUUUUCUAGGCUUUUUUUGUUAGAUAAUAUAUGAUUGGGAUAUAUGUUUUUGAGUCGUCUGUUGGAUACCAAUAAAAAUCUGGCGAAGGUAUUUCUUUGGUUUGAGAGUGUUGACCUAUUCUGCUGAGGACAAAUCCAAACAGAUGGUUCUCUGGUUAGAUUAUAAUUAAUAGGAUGGAAGUUUAGGUUUUCUGAAGAUGUUUUUCUUGGAGAGGCGGGGGUCUGCUUUGGUUUCUUGCUCUUGGGCUCUUCUCUAAAAUACUUGACCGAAUGCCACUGAUAGUUAAUUAAUACCUUAAUAGCUUGGAUGGUUCUGUAUUUGUUUUCUUUAGAUUUAUAACUCUUCAAGAAUUAUAAUGGAGUAUUUUCUAGGUUAUCUUGAUCUAGAGCUUUUAUCGCCUCUUCGGUGAUCUACUGGAGAAAAACAUUGACCUGAAGCAUCCCGUCGAAUAUCUAUUCCUACCAAUACAUAUACCUGCUAUUUGCUGUCAUGUGUAAUGCAUACUAUAUGGUAUGGUAUCCACUUAUUCAGGAUUCCUCUGAAGUAAGGAAUUUGUAUUACCAGAAGUAUUAUCUAAGUGAUAUAUUUCGGGAUUGGUAUACUUCUGCUCUUGGUAGGAGAUCUUUGACCAGGACACUAUUCUACAAAAGCAGCAAAUGCUUGAGAAAGAUCUAAAACUCGGAGAGAAGAGAGAGGGAAAAGAGAACGGGGAGGCGAGGAGCACCUGCAUCACAUCCUGUGGCUGCAGCGGGUCGGCCUCCGUCAUCGGCUUCUUCCUGCUAGGACAGGGCAGGACAGGGUGUGGUGACAAUGAGUGGUAGACAAGAAGGGCGAUGCCGUAGUUGAUGAGGACGGCGAUGGAGAUAGCGAGCAACAUGAGGAGGAAGUGGAGGUCGGUGGGGAAGGCCUCCCUCCCGCGAGAUCACCACCACCAAACCCGCCGAGGUCAGAGAAAUAGGGAAAAUCAAAAUCUGAAGGUAACUAAAAUGCUCCCAAUAUGUUUCAGUUCAUAUUAUCAGUGAAUCUACUUUCUUCUGUGUAAUGGUAGGGUACAUUUUUACAUUUUCUCUACUGCUCUCAGUUAGGUUCUAUUUCAACUACUAAAACUUGUUGUAUGGAAUAGUCGCAAAUAUUAGGUAUAUCAUUGUUGUUUUGCUGAAUGAUGAACAACAAGGUAGUCCAGUAGAAUUGUAACUUGUGAGGCCCGGAAAUAGUCCCUUCAAAGUAUGAUGCUGGUUUAUAGAACUAAAUUUGUGUUCUACCUGUAUGUAUUUUUUUCUUUAGUUUGUAGGUUUCUUGGAAGAUUUACUGUGGGCUGUGUUACUCGCCAAAAAAGUUAACCCCAAGUCAGACCCUUUCAUGGCUUCGCUUAUUAAAUGAUGUUUUUCUCAAUUUGUUGAUGAGAAAUUCAUGAAAUUUGGUAUAGUUUUACGUAUGAUGUUACCUAUGGUUCAUUACCUUUGUAAUGAAGCACGUCUCAAAACAUUUUCCAAAGUUGAGCAAAGGAUGGUAACACCUUUAGCUAUUCUAUAUUCUUUGAUAAUAACGUUGACGACGCCGUCAUCAAAAGCCGCUUGGCAGGGGCUCACCCCGAAAACACCUCUUUUUUGCAUCUGCUGAGCAGAACCAAUUACCAAAUCCUACUGCAAAGCUCUAUGCUCUGCUUUGGCCUUGCUCUCACUUAUGGGUAGGAAGGACAAUAAGAAGGAAUUCAUGUUGGCUAACUAAUCUAUCUAAUAAACUACAGCCUAACCACGAUUAUUUUUUGUUUGCGGUACUUCCCAACUCACUUUACGAACAACCACCUCCUAGAGCACAUACGUUCAGGCCACUAUGAUCUACCAAUCAGAUCUGGAAAUGGAGAUGCCCAUGUAAUCGCUCGCCUUCUCAAAGGAGUGGACAAGAGAGCUACCAUUACAGUAAGCUAGAGUGGGCUCUUCCACUCUAUAAAUAUGAAGGGAACAUAUCAGCUUUCGCCUUCUAACCUGUAGCAAAGAGCCUCUAUUUGACUGUCUACUCCCUGUAAGGACAUAAUCAUGGAGCUUCACCACCGUCUACUUAUAUUUAGCAUACGUACCAAACUUGUAUGUUUAUAAUGCUUUUGCUCCAUCUGUGACAUGCUUAGAAUUGGCUUAUAUUUUCAUCUAGAUUCUCUUACUUCUGUUGACAUAAUGGAACGUCCUCUUGACCUGAUAUAUAAGUGUUGAUGCAUAUGGACUUAUCUUUUCUCUCUUGGUAAAUUUUAUUUGCUGAUCAGGAUUUCCUACCCCUUCCGAGUGAACCCUACAGGGAGCAACGCAUCUCCAUUUUGCUUCCAUAGGAUAAGGCAUGGGAAGAGGCGAACCUUCAUUGAUUCCUAAAUAAAUAUUUAAUCUAUAAUAUUUUCUUAUAUAUGUGCUCGGUUACAAUUACAACAUGGGGCUUAAAGUAUCUAUUACUAUGGAUAUUUGUUAUAUUUGUGCAUUUUAGUUACAACUAAGUGCCACACCAAUGAAUGUGAAUGCAUGUUCAGGUAAUAAGUAUCAUGAUUACCAAUUUCGGUUUGUCCCCAUAGUCUGUGUGUUCCAUAUCCUUUCAGUACCUUCUGCUAUUUUCCUGCAUUUUUCUUCCCUUCUGCUGUAGAUUAAGUGACUAGAAGCAAACAAAUGGUUAUGCCAGACUAUUCAGAUUAUCAAGUACAAUAUACUGCGGAAUAUCAGCUUCUUAAAUUUAUGUUGCAGCCUAGCAUAUACCAGGAUAAAAAUUUACUUUUGUGUAUCAUGUAGAUUAUGUUCCUCUAAAUCACGUAUACCAUUCUUAGGUAUUAGUAGUGCAGUACUACAUGAAGGCAAUAUGUUAGCAUAUUAGGUACUACUAUUGUUUGCUCUCUAAUGUGUGAGCGCUUAUGGUUUUGCUACAGUACAGACUCGGCAUCUAUUCGUCUUGGUACAAACUAAUGUUCUAAUAAGGUGUGAUAAAUUUAAUAAUAAGAUGAUAUUGCUGAGAUUAAGUGACCAGAAAUGCGGUUUGUAUGACCGAAAUUAUCCUGAACAUAUGAUUGUUUAUUAUUUAUUAUGCUCUGUUUUUAGGAAACUAUCUGAACUCUUCCCAAGACCAUUUGUUCGCUAUUAUUUUUCUUUAGAAGUUUCUCCAUGAUGUCACUUUCCACCUACUGGGUCGUGCAGGGUUGCGUCAUGAACGGCAUCUGGGCGAUCGCCCACGAGUGCGGCCACCACGCCUUCUUCGACUACUUGCUGCUUGACAACAUGGCAAGACGAAACUGAAAAGGUCAUUUGGGACAAGUGGAAGGAGGAAAGCCGCCGUAAGAUCGAUAGUAACUUUCCUCCCCUCUAUAAAGAACAUUGGAACUAUCAAAUUGGAACUAUCGGAUUCAAACUCCUAGAUGUCUAUGGCAGGAUGUAGGACUUUCUCCAGGCAGAGAUAUCCCCUCUGAUCUUUUCAUGAAUACUUUCACACUUUUUUCUAUAAAGUGCUGCUGAUUUUAAUAAAAUCCCUUUGUUCAAAAAACAAUAUAAUUUCUAGCUCCUAGAAGAGCUUGUUCAUUCAUACCUUUCCUUACAUUUUAACUAUGAUAGUGACCUCUUUUAUUUUUCUAUGUAACAGUCAUAUGCAUAAAUGGUUGAAAAUGGUGUCUGAAUGGCGCAUUUUUUGCUCA
Triticum dicoccoides is the source of this 5314-nucleotide long non-coding RNA. RefSeq lists it as uncharacterized. The record is from RefSeq and is a predicted model, not a curated record. The transcript has 7 exons. Lineage: Eukaryota; Viridiplantae; Streptophyta; Magnoliopsida; Poales; Poaceae.